This 274-nucleotide ribosomal RNA is filed under the name uncultured bacterium. RNAcentral's name for it is "partial 16S ribosomal RNA". It matches the Rfam family "Bacterial small subunit ribosomal RNA", at positions 523 to 796 of the family's 1533-position model. The record is from RNAcentral.
AUACGUAGGGUGCGAGCGUUAAUCGGAAUUACUGGGCGUAAAGCGUGCGCAGGUGGUUUUGUAAGUCAGAUGUGAAAUCCCCGGGCUUAACCUGGGAACUGCGUUUGAAACUGCAAGGCUAGAGUGUGGCAGAGGGGGGUGGAAUUCCGCGUGUAGCAGUGAAAUGCGUAGAUAUGUGGAGGAACACCGAUGGCGAAGGCAGCCCCCUGGGUCAGCACUGACGCUCAGGCACGAAAGCAUGGGGAGCAAACAGGAUUAGAUACCCCAGUAGUCC